GCUCCCAUAGCCCAAUUGGCAGAGGCGGCAGACUUAAAAUCUGCACAGUGUCGGUUCGAGUCCGUCUGGGAGCACCA
Molecule: transfer RNA, 77 nt
Filed under: Cellulomonadaceae bacterium
Lineage: Bacteria; Bacillati; Actinomycetota; Actinomycetes; Micrococcales; Cellulomonadaceae
Description: tRNA-Leu
Rfam family: tRNA
About the family: Transfer RNA (tRNA) molecules are approximately 80 nucleotides in length.
Source: RNAcentral